GGUGCCGCGCUGGAUUUAAACCUUCCGCCCCGCGCCUCUGCUUCUGCGGAGCGUGUGGUUGGCGCGCUCUUGUGUUGAGGGGCGGUUGUUCUUUGCUGUUUUGAGGAAGCUGCGGGUUCGGCUUCGUGGGGUACGGCUGAGGAAGCACUUGCUCCAUGCAGGUGCUGGCGUUGCCCGGCCCUUCUCGUACUUAGAGCAUUGAGGAUAGGUGAACACUAUGACUCUCGAGGCUCUGUAGUUUCCUAAGUUAUCCAAGAUGUAACGCAUUUGCUUGAACUUACAGGAGAUCUUGUGCUCGGCAUGAUCAUCUUGACGGAAGUUGGUCAGUGAGACCAUCACUGAUUGUGUCAGGCAGUUAAUAUGGAGACAUAAGAUAGCAGUGGCAAAUAGGAAGAACUUCCCUUUGAAUUCAAUGUGACCGGAACAGAAACCAAAUGGAAGGGUAGAGCUCAUCUUCCUUGGAAUUAUUUUCCAUCAGGCACUAACAAGUUCAACGCAUUUGCAGUCCGUGGCUCAGGAGAACACAAAAUAUGAAACGCUUUAUUCUGUGCCUCACAAACUUCAGGAAGGACAGAAACCAGAUUCAUAAGCAUAAAAUGAGUUUUUCUGGAAUAUAUUUGUGCUCUUCUUGGAAUACUUCUAGAAGAAACCAGUCUGAGUGCCACUGGUAUUUUAAUUAUACUGUUUAGCCCUGGAUCCACUGUGUAAAGAUCCAGUUGUGUAAAGAACUGACAGCUGUAAUUAGUGCUUGAUUUCUGUGUUCUCCCCUAGGUGCAUAGCAAAUGAUACAUUCAAUGUAACUUGCAUCUGUUAUCACCUCCCUUAGCUAAAUCUUAGAUGUGUGGUUUUGUUUUUUCCUUGCCUACAGCACCUCUUAAAGUGCUAUUUAGUGUUAAUUGUACUGCAGUAAUAUCCAGUGGAUCUCUUUUGCCUCUCUCCUACUGUUUGAAACAACUUUGCCUUACAGAUGGCUCUGGGUUGUGGGAAAAUUUGAAAAGACAGAUGAAACUGAGAGGUGUAAUGAAAGGAUGUCCAUUAUCAAUAGCAAAACUAGAGUAUAUUGAUAUUUAUAUUGUGCUGUGAGUGGACUACUUUAUUUUCUGAGUGAGUCUGAAAUGACUUCGUACAGGCUGCUGCUUGUGGGCAGUUUGUGUAAAUGAACUAGCACUAGAAGAACUGCUGUAGUUCUCAUAAGAACUUGUUACUCAACAUGAAGUGAUAGCUAGGUAAACUGCAGAAUACCUGUAAUAUUUUUCAAGAAGGGAUUCUUUUUUACAGUACUUCUUCAUAAAAAUCCUGACUUAUUCAGACAUGGAAAGCAGAUGUAUUCAUGUUAAGAGGUCAUUCCUUGCUGCUUUAAUUGCUCUUAGAUUGUCUUCACGUGUUAUUUUGACACUCUCUAUUUAGAGAAUUUCAUUUAAUUGAAUGAUUAAUCGUAUCAGAUAUUCUAUUUACUGUUUAGCAGCUGUGUAAAUAUUAAUAAGAAAUUAGCCUCAGUCUUCUCUCAGUUGUUUCUGUUUGGCAAUGGAAAGGAGAAAUUCUUAGCAAGAACCAAUUCAUAAUGCUUAAAAGCAAAUGAGAUGUGGUCUAAAAGGGAAAAAAAUUCUACUUGCUUCAUUAUCCUGCUCUGUCUUCCUGCUUUCUGUAAGGAGAGGAUAUGCUGUGAUGUACAUUUCCAAUUGGUCAGAAGUUGUAAACAGUAUCUGGCUGAGUGCAGAUAUGUUGUAAAGCAUGGUAUCAUUUUGUUUGUGCUCUGACUGCGUUUUCAGUCAACGUAAAUUGAGAGAGUUUAGAGGUGAGCUCUUUAACUUCACUUCACACUGUGGUACUUGUUGGUAGUUCAGGAUUUUGCCUUCUUUCCAGUACAAGCUUUUCAGUCUUUACAUUUCCAGAAAGCAUGGGAAAAAAACAUCAGUUAAACUUACUGAGAAUGUUCUAAGAUGGUACUAUGAAACUCACUUGUUUUGUUCUCCUUUACCUAUAUAGUCACUGCCUGGAAUUUCUCCAAGAAUUGAACCUGAAAGAACUAAUGGAAUGACUGGAAGCAGCCUGAUUUGGAUAUAUGCAACUCUCACACUAAUUAGCUAAAUGGAUUGAAGCUUGCAUUUUUGAUAGCAUUAAGUUUGGAUGAAGCUGUAUGAGAACAAGUUAUAUUGGGCAGAGAUUGUAAAUAUGAGGUUAGUAAAGCCUUUAUUGACACCAAAAGCACUGAUCAAUCAUAAAACCAACAGUAAAUUUUCUGGGCCAGUUACUUCCAAACGUGUGAAGUGUGCAACUGCUGAUGGAUGUUUCAGUUCAUCUGGGUCUGGAGCUUUUAAUCUGCAGUGCAGAUGAAUUGACUCUUUCAAUGAAGGGAAAAUUGUGUUAAAAUUACAGCUGUGUUUCCAUGAGAGCUCUAAGACUGAUAAGACAAGUAUCUGGCUUGGAAUCUGUUUCUUACAGUUGUGUUUCUGCUGUAUUUUCAUUGUGUUUUGUUUCUCUUGAUUACUGGAUGUGAAACUUGCAUGCCUAAAUCUUUUCUUGCAACCAGGACAGGGAAUGCCUCCUUCAGGAACGGAAGAGAAGGUAACUCUCAUGGCUUUCUGUAAUCCAGUACUCACUGCAAGAUCCUGUGGAGGUACAACACUAGCUAUCCCCAUUCCCCCAGAGUUUUCACUUGCACACUGCUGGUGGGAAAAUUUUAUCUAUUACUUAUUAGCAGAAGUUUCUUGUUCAAAUUCAGUGUGGAAUUUCUAGUGAUAAUUGUGCACAGAGGGCAGUCUUAAACAGGUUUUAUGCACUCCAGGCAAAGCUUCUGGGGAAAGUCAUAUUUAGGAAGGCCUGGAUACAGUUGUAUGCCUACAAAAGCUUGGCCUUUUCAUGUCACCUUAAGGAUUCAGCUCAGAUAUAUAUAAGAAAACUCAGCCUAACAAACAUUGUUUGCUUGCCACUUAAUCCUGGAAGUAUGUGCAUGUGUUGUUGGUACCUACUUUUCUCCUCCUUAGCAUGAGUAUUUGAUUGCCACUGAGUACUGUUGGAUUGUAAGAUCUAAUCUGUGAACUUUCACAGAACUUAGCUGUUCCUUUCUUGUCCUUUCCAAGGCAUUCCUUGGAAAAUAGGAAGCUUUCCCACUAACCUGAUCCUAUGUCUGAAAAGUGGAUGUCUGGAAAAUCAAAAUUGUUUGGUUUAGUUGAGAAUGAGAAGCAUUUGAUUCAAGACAUGGUUCUCAGUCUCUUAUUACUAAGAGGAUUCCCUGCAUCCUGUUGAACUGUCACCAUCACAGGGUGGAAGCUGGUCAUAUUUUUUUGGUGAGAAGGAUUGUUCUGAGAGUCUGAGGGCAUAUGGUUGAGUCAAGUGAGAGCUCUUGUAGCUUGGAAGGCCAAUAGUAUCGUGGGCUCCAACAGAAGAGGGGUGGCCAGCAGGGGCAGGGAGGUGAUUGAACCUCUCUACUCUGCCCUCGUGAGGCCCCAUCUUGAGUACUGUGUCCAGAUCUGGGGCCCCUGAUAGAGGAAAGAUGCGGACCUGUUGGAGAGGGUCCAGAGGAGGGCCACAAAGAUGAUCAGAGGGCUGGAGCACCUCCACUGUGAAGACUGGCUGAGGGAGCUGGACUCUUUUUCAGCCUGGAGAAGAGAAGGCUGUGAGGAAACAUCAUUGCAACUUUCCAGUAUUUAAAAGGUGAUUAUUAGCAGGAGGGGAAUCAACAUUUUACUUAAGAAGAUAGUGAUAGGGCAAGGGGGAAUGGUUUUAAGAUCAUGGAGGGAAGGUUUAGAUUGGGUGUCAGGCAGAAUUUCUUUACAGAGAGUAUGGUGCUGUAACAGGCUGCCCAGAGAGGCAGUGGAUGA
Long non-coding RNA from Numida meleagris (helmeted guineafowl), 3821 nucleotides. RefSeq lists it as uncharacterized. NCBI's taxonomy places the organism in Eukaryota, Metazoa, Chordata, Aves, Galliformes, Numididae. The record is from RefSeq and is a predicted model, not a curated record. The transcript has 3 exons.